GAGGGUAUAUCUCAGUGGUAGAGUGUAUGCUUAGCAUGCAUGAGGGCCUGGAUUCAAUCCCCAGCACCUCCA
RNAcentral lists this transfer RNA (72 nucleotides) under Camelus bactrianus (Bactrian camel). It matches the Rfam family "tRNA". From Rfam's summary of the family: Transfer RNA (tRNA) molecules are approximately 80 nucleotides in length. Their secondary structure includes four short double-helical elements and three loops (D, anti-codon, and T loops). Further hydrogen bonds mediate the characteristic L-shaped molecular structure. tRNAs have two regions of fundamental functional importance: the anti-codon, which is responsible for specific mRNA codon recognition, and the 3' end, to which the tRNAs corresponding amino acid is attached (by aminoacyl-tRNA synthetases). tRNAs cope with the degeneracy of the genetic code in two manners: having more than one tRNA (with a specific anti-codon) for a particular amino acid; and 'wobble' base-pairing, i.e. permitting non-standard base-pairing at the 3rd anti-codon position. RNAcentral also lists the same sequence under 1 other name. Lineage: Eukaryota; Metazoa; Chordata; Mammalia; Artiodactyla; Camelidae. The record is from Rfam by way of RNAcentral.